UGCCAGCAGCCGCGGUAAGACAGGAGGAGCAAGUGUUAUUCAGAAUUAUUGGGCGUAAAGGGCAUGUAGGUGGAUGAUUGGAGUUGAUUGUGCCAUUCCAAUGGGAUGCAUUGGGUUUGCAAUCAAUACUCUUCAUCUUGAGGUCAAAAGAGGAAAAUAGAAUUUCUAGUGGAGAGGUUAAAUUCUUAGAGAUUAGAAGGAAUAUCUAAAGCGAAGGCGCUCUGCUGGGCCAUCACUAACGCUCAUGGACGAAAGCCAGGGGAGCGAAAGGGAUUAGAUA
This 280-nucleotide ribosomal RNA is filed under the name uncultured bacterium. Its description in RNAcentral is "partial 16S ribosomal RNA". It matches the Rfam family "Bacterial small subunit ribosomal RNA", at positions 506 to 784 of the family's 1533-position model. The record is from RNAcentral.